GUCGGACCACUUGCAGCCCUGCUUGUGGUGGAUGCAGAACACCAGGGAGCCCAUGAUGUGCUUCGGAUCGGGACCGGGAUAUAUCUGCAAAAAGGAGGGAAAGAAAACAGAUAAGAUCCUGGAUCCUGCUGAGCUCAGACAGUACUUGGUUUGGCCAUAAAGAUUUCCCCUUAACCGGAAACUGUAAACAAUCCUUGCAGGAUGCCGGCGACUAAACUGGCUUAUCACCUUGCCGCCAUCAUUGGAGUGCAGGGAAAUUACUUUCAAUUAUUGGACUGGCUAUCGAAAGGACCCGCUUGCAGUCAGUCCCAGGCAGAUGUUUUUGGGUAGGCCCAAAAGGCAAGUAAGCAAAACCUGUAUGGAAUGCAGCUCCAUCAAGCAUCGACCUGAUAUUCCCUGGGCUAACUGAGCUAACUGAGCGAACUGAGCGCGCCAAAUCGAGGACGACGCCUGUAACAACACGAAAAAGGACACCCGGGCGAGACUCAUAAAUAUAGGUAUUUUCCCUGGAACUGGACUGGGUACUGCUGGCAAUCGAACGCCGAA
Drosophila gunungcola (fruit fly) is the source of this 546-nucleotide long non-coding RNA. RefSeq lists it as uncharacterized. The record is from RefSeq and is a predicted model, not a curated record. NCBI's taxonomy places the organism in Eukaryota, Metazoa, Arthropoda, Insecta, Diptera, Drosophilidae. The transcript is spliced from 3 exons.